CCCUGUGGUCAGGCACCAUGCUGUUCCCUUCCGUGUACGGCAUCUUCAGAACCCUGAGGACAGUUUCACCAAGAGGUGUAUUCCAGAGAAAAGUCUUCAAACAUCUUUGCUGUAUUUGAUGCUGAGUGACUGUCAGGGGACUCAGGCUUAUGAGGAGGUACUGUCACACAAAACAGUAUCUAGUGAAGACGACAAGAAAGAGAGGAAAGGAUCGGAAAAAGAAGCUAAAAUACUAUAGAAAACCAUGAGAUCUAUUCGAUCUUUUGCCAAUGAUGAUCGCCAUGUUAUGGUGAAACAUUCAACCAUCUAUCCAUCUCCAGAGGAACUUGAAGCUGUUCAAAAUAUGGUGUCUACUGUUGAAUGUGCUCUUAAACAUGUCUCAGAUUGGCUGGACGAAACAAAUAGAGGCACAAAAACAGAGGGCGAGACAGACAUGAAGAAAGACGAGGCUGUAGAAAACUACUCCAAGGACCAAGGUGGUCGGACAUUGUGUGGUGUAAUGAGGAUUGGCCUGGUUGCAAAAGGCUUACUGAUUAAGGAUGAUAUGGACUUGGAACUGGUUUUAAUGUGCAAAGACAAACCUACAGAGACCUUGUUAAAUACAGUCAAAGAUAAUCUUCCUAUUCAGAUUCAGAAACUCACAGAAGAGAAAUACCAAGUGGAACAAUGUGUAGAUGAGGCAUCUAUUAUAAUUCGGAAUACAAAAGAGCCCACGCUAACUUUGAAGGUGAUACUUACUUCCCCUUUAAUUAGGGACGAAUUGGAGAAGAAGGAUGGAGAAAAUGUUGCGAUGAAAGAUCCUCCGGACUUACUGGACAGGCAGAAAUGCCUGAAUGCCUUGGCGUCUCUCCGACAUGCCAAAUGGUUUCAGGCAAGGGCAAAUGGAUUAAAAUCAUGUGUUAUUGUUCUUCGCAUUCUACGUGAUUUGUGCAACAGAGUCCCCACGUGGGCACCAUUAAAAGGAUGGCCACUAGAGCUUAUAUGUGAAAAGUCUAUAGGUACUUGUAAUAGACCUUUGGGCGCUGGGGAGGCCUUGAGACGAGUAAUGGAGUGUUUGGCAUCUGGAAUACUACUUCCUGGGGGUCCUGGUCUUCAUGAUCCUUGUGAGAGAGACCCGACAGAUGCUCUGAGCUAUAUGACUGUCCAGCAAAAAGAAGACAUCACCCACAGCGCACAGCAUGCACUCAGACUAUCAGCCUUUGGCCAGAUUUAUAAAGUGUUGGAGAUGGACCCUCUUCCAUCUAGUAAGCCCUUUCAGAAGUAUUCCUGGUCAAUUACUGAUAAAGAAGGUGCUGGCUCUUCAGCUCUGAAGAGGCCAUUUGAAGAUGGAUUAGGGGAUGAUAAAGAUCCCAAUAAGAAGAUGAAACGAAACUUAAGGAAAAUUCUAGAUAGUAAAGCAAUAGACCUUAUGAAUGCACUAAUGAGGCUCAAUCAGAUCAGGCCCGGGCUUCAGUAUAAGCUCUUGUCUCAGUCUGGCCCUGUCCAUGCUCCAGUCUUCACAAUGUCUGUAGAUGUGGAUGGCACAACAUAUGAAGCCUCAGGACCAUCCAAGAAAACUGCAAAACUUCAUGUAGCAGUGAAGGUAUUACAGGCAAUGGGAUACCCAACUGGCUUUGAUGCAGAUAUUGAAUGUAUGAGUUCCGAUGAAAAAUCAGAUAAUGAAGGCAAAAAUGAAACAGUGUCUUCAAACUCAAGCAAUAAUACUGGAAAUUCUGCAACUGAAACCUCCAGUACCUUAGAGGUAAGAACUCAGGGCCCUAUCCUCACAGCAAGUGGCAAAAACCCUGUAAUGGAGCUCAAUGAAAAAAGACGAGGGCUCAAGUAUGAACUCAUCUCAGAGACUGGUGGAAGCCACGACAAGCGCUUUGUAAUGGAGGUAGAAGUAGAUGGACAGAAAUUCAGAGGCGCAGGUCCAAAUAAGAAAGUGGCAAAGGCAAGUGCAGCUUUAGCUGCUCUGGAGAAGCUGUUUUCUGGACCCAAUGCAGCAAAUAAUAAGAAAAAGAAGAUUAUUCCUCAGGCAAAAGGUGUUGUGAAUACAGCUGUGUCUGCAGCAGUGCAGGCGGUUCGAGGCAGAGGAAGAGGCACUCUGACGAGGGGAGCUUUCGUUGGGGCUACAGCUGCUCCUGGCUACAUAGCUCCAGGCUAUGGAACACCAUAUGGUUACAGCACAGCUGCGCCUGCCUAUGGUUAAUACUUUUAAGCAGUUUUCAGCACGUUUAUCUCACUUUAUUCUCGUUCUCCUCGGACCUUCGUAGCCAUAUCACUUGUAUAAAAUAGGCUGAGAUAUAGUGACUGUAAGCUGUGAUCUCAGUAUACAAAGGCAGUUAGAUUUCCAGUAAUUAAGAGCCCUAAAAGAUCAGGCAGAGGUGAAAGCAGUGAAAGGUAAGCACAGCCUGCUCUGCCAGCGGCCUCCCAGGGAUUCCCACCCUUUCAGUGCCGGUGCCUUCUGAGGGUGGCGGGGCGGCUCUGGAGUCACCCAGGACAAGGAAGGUGCUGGGGUCUCGCGCUGUCAGGUGGCCGUAGGUCCCUCAGUGUUGGCGGGCAGCCUGGACCAGAGACAGUGGCGAGUGGGUAACAACAGCACAGCCAAGGAACUGCUGCCGAGGUGAGUUUUAACACCUGUGUGUAUCUUGCUAGCACUUACAGAGCCCGGAGUUUCUUAUAUAAGGGCCCUUCUCUCCUCACAGCAUCCUCCAGGAAGACUUUUAAGUGAAGAAUUCAAGUUGAAUUAGUUGUAAGAAUAGAUCUCCCUCCCACAUUACCAUUUCAGUUAGGAGCUAACAGCUUCCAUUGAUGCUUGAAGCAGUGAUCUUUGGAGGUUUUUAAAAAUAGUACCUUAAUGCAAAUUAGGUUAUGUAAGCUUUACAGCACAGCUAGAAAUAGGAAGUAGAAACCGUGCUGGAAUCUGGGCCAGAGUAUUUCACUCCAGCACAUCCCCGUGGGGCCUGGGGACCCAGUGAGCUAGGCACCGGAAACGCGCCCGUGGCUGGCCGAGGUGGAGGGAGGUGUGUGAGGGGAGGCAAGGCUGUGCUGACAGGUAGCUGUAAGCAGGUGCUUUGCCUGCUCAGGGUGGAGCUGUGUUUGUCCCGUCACGCGGAAAGGUUUGGGCUGCUCCCAGCUUAGGGAGAGGACGCUGCGCUCCAGGGGUUCGACAGGAAGCACAAACCAAAGCCCACAUUUCUGCUGUGGUACUUAAAUCACCAGCCAGUCUGCUGCCCAGGGUUUGUAAAUACUUGGUUUGGGAUUUUAAGGUGCUUAGAAUUUCACAAGGGCUGAGCUUAGAUUGUCUGUCUACCUGCUGAUUCCAAGUUUCUUGCCAGUGCAUUCAUAAUAAAAGCCAGUGCUUGAUUCGGCUCACAGUGACUGGUGGGUGGAGAGCACGUUAUUAUAAAUUCCAGAAAGGAAUGGAGGACUCUAGGUGGUACGCUUAGAAAGCUGUGGACUCAGAUCCUUCUAAGGCUCCUACAGCUUGUCUUUUGUAGUUUGUUUGCAUACUUUGGGAGGAAAAUCUGCACUCCUCAACAUGUAUGGCCUCCCCUCUGUUUAUCUUAGAAAAAACAUGAUCAAACUAUUGGUGUCUCUGUCCAUCUGUCCACUUGUCUGUCUGUUCUAGACACUUUAGGAAGUUUCUGUUCGGAAGAGGAAAAGUAGGGAGAGGGUGACGUUGCUGCUGUUGGACUGAAUACCCCGUAUUCCUGGUUUGAAUAUAUUUGCAAAACAUCAGCAGCCUCUGAUGAAAGGUGGGCAGGCGGGUCUGUCCCCUGGCUGUUGGCGGUUGGCUAAGUGGGGAAUACAGAUUGAGCUCUGAGAUGCUCAAAGUUUGUAAAAACUCUGUGAAGAAGUACCGAAUGUUACUGCCAAGAAGCCCGGUAAGAGAUUUGCCUUCUAGUCAACAGGUUUGUUCAUAAAUCCAAGAGAUAGUUGCAUAACUAACGUCCUGACAGAAGUUACUGCGUUCAUUCCUUCUCCGCUGAGGCUUUUGAUAGAAUCUUUGCUUCAUGCAGCCAACAGUGGAGGAAGGACCGCCUCCCCCACCCCUCCUGGUUAGUUGUUACCACCUUAAUUUCUUAUUCCAAGGAGGACCAUGGUCUCUUUAUGCAGAAUUUUGCUAUUUGUGCGGGUGACCUGGGCUGCCCCUGCUGGUGAGUAGGGUGACGACUGGCCCAGCGGCCCAGGCUGCAGCAGCAGGCCCAUGGAGAUGUUAGUUUGCAGCUGUCUUUUUCUGCUGCUGGAUGGCCAGCAGGGGAAGGUGGGAUCGGUGUGGCUGCUGUGAAGACAGUGUCUCAGCCCUGCCGGGGAGCCCAUUCUCUCUGCAUCGUUUCCAGCUCUCCUGUCUUUGGUUUUUCUCCAGUACCAGGAACCGAACUCACGACCUCACGCUUGCCAGGCAGGCGCUUUG
RNA transcript from Chinchilla lanigera (long-tailed chinchilla), 4399 nucleotides. It is a transcript of the gene named spermatid perinuclear RNA binding protein, with no coding region annotated. NCBI's taxonomy places the organism in Eukaryota, Metazoa, Chordata, Mammalia, Rodentia, Chinchillidae. The transcript has 19 exons. The record is from RefSeq and is a predicted model, not a curated record.